CCUACGGGGGGCAGCAGUGGGGAAUAUUGGACAAUGGGGGCAACCCUGAUCCAGCCAUGCCGCGUGUGUGAAGAAGGCCCUCGGGUUGUAAAGCACUUUCAGUGAGGAAGAACGCCUGGUGGUUAAUACCCAUCAGGAAAGACAUCACUCACGGAAGAAGCACCGGCUAACUCCGUGCCAGCAGCCGCGGUAAUACGGAGGGUGCGAGCGUUAAUCGGAAUUACUGGGCGUAAAGCGCGCGUAGGUGGCUUGAUAAGCCGGUUGUGAAAGCCCCGGGCUCAACCUGGGAACGGCAUCCGGAACUGUCAAGCUAGAGUGCAGGAGAGGAAGGUAGAAUUCCCGGUGUAGCGGUGAAAUGCGUAGAGAUCGGGAGGAAUACCAGUGGCGAAGGCGGCCUUCUGGACUGACACUGACACUGAGGUGCGAAAGCGUGGGUAGCAAACAGGAUUAGAUACCCUGGUAGUC
RNAcentral lists this ribosomal RNA (465 nucleotides) under Vreelandella stevensii. Its description in RNAcentral is "partial 16S ribosomal RNA". It matches the Rfam family "Bacterial small subunit ribosomal RNA", at positions 338 to 795 of the family's 1533-position model. The record is from RNAcentral. Lineage: Bacteria; Pseudomonadati; Pseudomonadota; Gammaproteobacteria; Oceanospirillales; Halomonadaceae.